Molecule: non-coding RNA, 179 nt
Organism: Ceratotherium simum simum (southern white rhinoceros)
Lineage: Eukaryota; Metazoa; Chordata; Mammalia; Perissodactyla; Rhinocerotidae
Source: RefSeq, a predicted model, not a curated record
GGAUAUAUAUUUGGCAGUGGAAUUGCAGGGUCACAUGGUAAUUCAAUAUUUAACUUUUUGAGGAACUGCCCAAUUGUUUCCCAGCGUGGCUGCACCAUUUUACAUUUCCCCCAGCAGUGUAUGAGGGUUCCAAUUUCUCCACGUCGUCUCCAACACUUACUGUUUGACUUUUUGAUUCU